CAAAGUGCUGGGAUUACAGGCUUGAGCCGCCGCGCCCAGCAGACAAAUGACUUUUUAAAAUUAAGUUUUAAAUUUACAAUUGAUGCAUAAUUUUACUUUAAAAAAAUAAGUGUGCAAUUUGGUAAACUUUGACAUAUACAGCUGUAAACCACUCCAAUCAAGAUAACAUAUUUACCACACCCAAAAGUUUCCAUGUGCUCUAUUAUAAUCCCUCUGGCUAGUCCUCUGUCAAUCACUGAUAAAUUUUAUUACUAUAGAUUAGCUUGCAUUUUCUAAAAUUAUAUAAAAAUGAAAUCAUGCCAUUUGUGCUUUUUCUCUGUCUUUUCUCAAAAUUCUUUCACUCAAAAUUACAUACUCUGUAUGUCUUCUUUCACUCAAAAUUACUUCUUUCAUUUUUAGACAGAAGCAAUCAGACCUCAAAAUUACUUGGAGAUUCAUCUGGUGUGUGCAUUAGUAAUUCAUAAUUCAUUCCUUUUUUAUUGCUGAGUAGUACACAAUUUGUUUAUCCAUUUACCUGCUGUUGGAGAUUUGGGCUAUUUCCAGAUUUUGGCUGUUGCAAAAAAGCAACCUCACAGAUCCUUUUAAAGGUGCUUUCAGGUAACCCUAGUGACUAUGGUACCACUGCUCUCUAUCCUAGCAGGCACACUGAAAUAGUUAAACCUUGCAAUAGUGUGAAAUCAUUUUCUUUUUAAACAAUGUAUUUCCUUAUUUUUACAUAUUUUACUCUAGUCUCAUGACAGAUUACAUUUUCUUUUUUAAAUAGAAAGUCUUACUGUAAAGCCCCCAUCUGUAUAAAAAAAUGAAAGAUCUGGUUGAUGUGGAUGUGUGGAACCCAGGAACCCUCUCUUGGAUUUUCUCUUACUCCCCAAAAAACUUCCUUUCCUCCAAAGAGCUGCUCAGAAGUUUGAAAACCAGUGGACAAGCCAUCCUAACUGUCUUGAUGCUACAGAAGCAAAGACGCCGUACAGAGAUGUAGCAUUCCUGUAACAGGUAAGCUGUUUCAAAGCCUUCCAGGACAACUUUUGCACAGUCACGUUUAUCUUUAAGCACCAACAAAAGAAAUGGAGAAAUUUGAGCCGUGUGUCCUGGGCUCUGAAAGGCAGCAAUCAUCUUAGCCCCUAGCAUACGCCAUGUUCAGCUUCCUCGCCUUGGGCAGGUACCACAGCUACUUCUACUCCAGUGAUCAGCAGGCCCUCCAGCAUGAAGACCUUUGAGAAGGACCUGAGACUACUAUAGCUCUCAGCUCCUAAUAUGAUUUGUACACUAUCACCUUGAAGUAAAUCAGACUAGUUAUUUUCAUGCUAAGUUUGAAAACAGUGCCUUCUUUUUGAUGCCUCUUGUAGGGUAUUGGCAGAGGGAUCUCAAUUUUUACUUUAUACCUGAAGGGCAGCUUUUUGGUCUGAUAAUUAUAGUGUAAUCAUUCAUAUUUUAAAUCACAAAUACCCCCACCUCUUGAUGCAAACUUCAGUCUGUGGCGUGAGUGUACAUUCACUGCCUAAACCACCUUUGGCCAAAAUUUAUGUGUAUAUGAAGUCAUUCUACUUUAGCACACUCAAAGGAAUUCCUUUAAACCAUUUAUCUGCUUGUACACAAUAGCCAAAGGAAUAGUCCUUUCUAUGGCUGAUGUAAUAAACUAUCACAAAUUUA
Macaca mulatta (Rhesus monkey) is the source of this 1647-nucleotide non-coding RNA. Lineage: Eukaryota; Metazoa; Chordata; Mammalia; Primates; Cercopithecidae. The record is from RefSeq and is a predicted model, not a curated record.